Salvelinus sp. IW2-2015 is the source of this 393-nucleotide non-coding RNA. NCBI's taxonomy places the organism in Eukaryota, Metazoa, Chordata, Actinopteri, Salmoniformes, Salmonidae. The record is from the annotation of a RefSeq genome assembly.
GACAUUACAACAAGUCCUGUAUUAACUAAUACUGAACAAUGGAACAGAUGAUUAUCUGCAGUUUAGUUCUCAUMGUGAUGUCCAUACACAGUGUUUGUUGUGAUAUAAGGCUGGAUCAGUCUCCUCCUCAAGUGAAAAGACCUGGAGACACUGUUAAARUGUCCUGUACAAUCUCUGGUUUCUCAAUGAGUSGCUUCUGGAUACACUGGAUGAGGCAGAACCAAGGCAAWGCCCUYGAGUGGAUCGGGAGAAUGAAUAGCAARUCUCCAGUCUACUCAGACUCCCUGAAAGGKCAGUUCYCCCUGACUGAGGACGUCUCCACAAGCACACAGUUCUUAGAGGCCAAGAGUCUGAGAUCAGAGGACUCUGCUGUUUAUUAUUGUGCCCGAGAGA